UACGGAGGAUGCAAGCGUUAUCCGGAUUUAUUGGGCGUAAAGCGUCCGCAGGUGGCUAUUCAAGUCUGCUGUCAAAGCUCGGAGCUUAACUCCGAAUCGGCGGUGGAAACUGAACAGCUAGAGUGCAGUAGGGGUAGAGGGAAUUCCCAGUGUUGCGGUGAAAUGCGUAGAGAUUGGGAAGAACACCGGUGGCGAAAGCGCUCUACUGGACUGCAACUGACACUCAGGGACGAAAGCUAGGGGAGCGAAUGGG
RNAcentral lists this ribosomal RNA (253 nucleotides) under uncultured bacterium. Its description in RNAcentral is "partial 16S ribosomal RNA". It matches the Rfam family "Bacterial small subunit ribosomal RNA", at positions 524 to 776 of the family's 1533-position model. The record is from RNAcentral.